AAGCCUUUAAGUUAACUAAACUAUUAGCCUUCAAAGCUAAAAAUAAGUAAAUUCUUAAGUCUUG
This 64-nucleotide transfer RNA is filed under the name Laetmonice producta. RNAcentral describes it as "tRNA-Trp". Lineage: Eukaryota; Metazoa; Annelida; Polychaeta; Phyllodocida; Aphroditidae. The record is from RNAcentral.